UGUACUACUAAUAUACAUAAUUCCCUUCUAAUGAGUAUGACAACACAAUAUGAACGCAGCUUAAUGUUUUUGAGUUGUUUACGAUAAUCUAAUAAAGAAAAUGUAAAAGUUCGUAAAAUUUCAAGAUAAACAGAAAUGAGUAUUAAAAUUGGAAAUUGGAAAAUAUUCAUACAUUUUUAAUAGUGUUAUCUCUGUCGUGACUAUGAAUGAGAAAAACUCGGAAGGCGUCCAAGACGCCUUUACGAACGGCGGGCGCAGAGUGACCCAAAUUAUUGACCAGCUCGGGUACCACUGGUUGCAUGACCUUGUCCACGAUGUCAGCAUUCAAAGUCGGUAACACGUCUAUAAGCACACGAAGAGCGUGCUGGCGCACCUCCCAUUCUGGAUCACGCAGUCUCUCGGAUAUCUCCAGGAACGUCGAAUGGGUAUCCACUUCGCUUGGAAAUUUUCGGAGAGGAGUCAGUUGUAUUGGUUGGCCGUUCGGUGAGGUCAAUGUCAUCUUUCGAGAGUGUCGUUGACGGUGAGCUCGACGAGUUGGGCUCUCAGGUGUUGAAUAAAGAUCGAGAGGAGAGGAUCGUGCCGGAAGUGGCGAGGAAUCCUUCUGGGGCUGCAGAGGCCCCGAAUUCGUCGAUCCUGUCAUAGAUAAAGUAAACUCCAGGCACUUGGACAUACCACCGUUACGUCUCGUCUGAAGGAAACCAUGGGUCCUUCAUCGUCUUCCAUGAGGAUUGUUUUUCUGAUUCUGGAUCGUUCAUCGAGUCACGCAAACGACAGGCCUGAUAGACAGAUUCGUUAGAUAUUUACUGUGGGCCAAGUAACGCUGUAACGCUAGUACACCUGUGAUGUUCGAUAUAUUCAAUGACCUAUAUGCAUGAUGAAAUGUUACAACAUAAUAUUCUAAAAUUCAUUUAUCAAUUUUUAAAUUAUUUUUAAAUAGCAUUUUUAAAUCAAGUGGAAAUCAUAAUGAUAGAUGUGAAUUAAUAUUUAUCCAGUAAUAUUAUUAAUUUAUAUUAAUGAUCCAUUCCGGUCCAAAAUAUAUAAUUCUUGUUUGUAAUAUAAUUUUGUUGAAUAUUACAAUUUUCUGUAAACCACGACAAUAGAAGCAGUGGAAUUGUACAUAUGUAAAUGAAUUAUACAACUAUAGCAGAUGUGUAAAACUAUCGUUUCCCUUCUCGAGAUGCGUAUACAAUAUAUCCACUUGCAUCGUUGACAAUAGCUAAUAAAAAUGUUUUUACUGAGUAUACUUGGACCUACAAGAACUUUGAAUUAGUUAAAAGUAUAUAGCACGGAAUUAUAU
Molecule: unclassified non-coding RNA, 1297 nt
Filed under: Bombus terrestris (buff-tailed bumblebee)
Lineage: Eukaryota; Metazoa; Arthropoda; Insecta; Hymenoptera; Apidae
Description: misc RNA ENSBTSG00005037097.1
Source: RNAcentral